CGCGUUCAAGGUUGUAGGCUGGGGUUUUAGGUAAAUCCGGAACCCUAAGGCUGAGAGCUGAUAACGACUGACCUUUUUAGGUCGGGAAGUAGUCGAUGCCAUGCUUCCAAGAAAAUCUUCUAAGCUUCAGGUAAUGAGCGACCGUACCCCAAACCGACACAGGUGGACUGGUAGAGCAUACCAAGGCGCUUGAGAGAACUAUGUUGAAGGAACUCGGCAAAUUGCUCCCGUAAGUUCGCGAGAAGGGAGCCUCUGCAUUGGGCAACCAGUGUGGAGGGGCACAGACCAGGGGGUGGCGACUGUUUACUAAAAACACAGGGCUCUGCGAAGCCGCAAGGCGACGUAUAGGGUCUGACGCCUGCCCGGUGCUGGAAGGUUAAAGGGAGAGGUGCAAGCUUUGAACUGAAGCCCCAGUAAACGGCGGCCGUAACUAUAACGGUCCUAAGGUAGCGAAAUUCCUUGUCGGGUAAGUUCCGACCUGCACGAAUGGCGUAACGACUUCCCCGCUGUCUCCAACAUCAACUCAGCGAAAUUGAAUUCCCCGUGAAGAUGCGGGGUACCCGCGGUCAGACGGAAAGACCCCGUGCACCUUUACUACAGCUUUGCAGUGGCAUCAGGAAGCCGAUGUGCAGGAUAGGUGGGAGGCUUGGAACUUAUGGCGCCAGCUAUAAGGGAGCCAUCCUUGAGAUACCACCCUUCUGCUUUCUGUUGUCUAACCGAGAUCAGUUAUCCUGAUCCGGGACCCUGCAUGGUGGGUAGUUUGACUGGGGCGGUCGCCUCCCAAAUGGUAACGGAGGCGCGCGAUGGUAGGCUCAAACCGGUCGGACAUCGGUUGUUGAGUGCAAUGGCAUAAGCCUGCCUGACUGUGAGACUGACAAGUCGAGCAGAGACGAAAGUCGGUCAUAGUGAUCCGGUGGUUCUGAGUGGAAGGGCCAUCGCUCAACGGAUAAAAGGUACGCCGGGGAUAACAGGCUGAUACCCCCCAAGAGUUCACAUCGACGGGGGUGUUUGGCACCUCGAUGUCGGCUCAUCACAU
Molecule: ribosomal RNA, 1036 nt
Filed under: marine metagenome
Description: bacterial LSU rRNA
Rfam family: Bacterial large subunit ribosomal RNA
Source: RNAcentral